RNAcentral lists this ribosomal RNA (500 nucleotides) under uncultured bacterium. RNAcentral's name for it is "partial 16S ribosomal RNA". It matches the Rfam family "Bacterial small subunit ribosomal RNA", at positions 30 to 523 of the family's 1533-position model. The record is from RNAcentral.
AUUGAACGCUGGCGGAAUACUUUACACAUGCAAGUCGAACGGCAGCACGGACUUCGGUCUGGUGGCGAGUGGCGAACGGGUGAGUAAUAUAUCGGAACGUGCACAGUCGUGGGGGAUAACGUAGUGAAAAUUACGCUAAUACCGCAUACGAUCUAUGGAUGAAAGCGGGGGACGUUUGGGCGUCGCGCGAUUGGAGCGGCCGAUAUCAGAUUAGGUAGUUGGUGGGGUAAAGGCUCACCAAGCCAACGAUCUGUAGCUGGUCUGAGAGGACGACCAGCCACACGGGGACUGGGACACGGCCCAGACUCCUACGGGAGGCAGCAGUGGGGAAUUUUGGACAAUGGACGCAAGUCUGAUCCAGCCAUUCCGCGUGCAGGACGAAGGCCUUCGGGUUGUAAACUGCUUUUGUACAGAACGAGAAGGUUUCUACUAAUACUAGGAGCUCAUGACGGUACUGUAAGAAUAAGCACCGGCUAACUACGUGCCAGCCGCCGCCGUAA